AAAGCCUGACGCAGCGACGCCGCGUGCGGGAAGAAGGCCUUCGGGUUGUAAACCGCUUUCAGGAGGGACGAAGCCACUCGGGUUAAUAGCCCAGAGGGUGACGGUACCUCCAGAAGAAGCCCCGGCUAACUACGUGCCAGCAGCCGCGGUAAUACGUAGGGGGCAAGCGUUGUCCGGAUUUAUUGGGCGUAAAGCGCGUGUAGGCGGCCAGGUAGGUCAGCUGUGAAAACUCGAGGCUUAACCUCGAGAUGUCGGCUGAAACCAUCUGGCUAGAGUCCGGAAGAGGAGAAUGGAAUUCCCGGUGUAGCGGUGAAAUGCGCAGAUAUCGGGAAGAACACCCGUGGCGAAGGCGGUUCUCUGGGACGGUACUGACGCUGAGACGCGAAAGCGUGGGGAGCGAACAGGAUUAGAUACCCUGGUAGUCCACGCCGUAAAUGAUGGGUGCUAGGUGUGGGCGGUGUCGACUCCGUCCGUGCCGAAGCUAACGCAUUAAGCACCCCGCCUGGGGAGUACGGCCGCAAGGCUA
RNAcentral lists this ribosomal RNA (526 nucleotides) under uncultured Actinomycetes bacterium. RNAcentral's name for it is "bacterial SSU rRNA". It matches the Rfam family "Bacterial small subunit ribosomal RNA", at positions 378 to 896 of the family's 1533-position model. The record is from RNAcentral. Lineage: Bacteria; Bacillati; Actinomycetota; Actinomycetes.